CAAAAGUGAAGUAAUUGAGCUAUUCUGCACAUCAUGAAAGAACAAUCUAACAUACAAGAAACUAAUGGAUGGAAAAACAAAACACAUUAGAUUUGCUAAAAAGAAACGAAUGAAAGAACUAAUUUGAUGGAUGCUUGAAAAAGACAGUAAAAUAAUAUCUCCAAAGUUCAGCGAGACUCAACAAAAUCAUACUAAAAGAGUCAUAAUCCUCAACUUAUACAUAUUCUUCUAAGCUUAAAGACAUUCUUAAACCCAAAAAACAUUCAAACAAAUCCCAAAUUCAAACCUUAAGAAGAAAUAUAACAUUAAUAACAUGAAUGAAAUAUACAUAGUGAAGCUAAACUGAAGGACACAUGGACAAAAUAUAACAAAUUCAAGCAAUUAUUUGACAACAGAAAGCUAGCAUUUGCCAUUUCUCUCCAAUUUUGAUUACAUGGCUUCACACUUGCACUUCAUAUGUUACUCAUGAGUCAAUGCAUACCUGGGAAUAACAGAGAAACAAAGGAAGUGAAGAAUCAAUAGCCAGCAGCAGCAGGAAUUUAUAGUUUUUAGAAGUUCUAGCCAACAAAGGAUAUUAGAAAUCCAAAAACCAAGCCAAAUUGAGCAAUUUUCAACCAAGGAAAGCAAAGAAUUCAGUGUUCUUUCAUUGUCAGCCGUUUCAGUUUUCUUUUUGGGAUUUUUUUUAUCUCUU
Molecule: long non-coding RNA, 691 nt
Filed under: Nicotiana benthamiana
Lineage: Eukaryota; Viridiplantae; Streptophyta; Magnoliopsida; Solanales; Solanaceae
Description: long non-coding RNA (NBEN_LNC025716)
Source: RNAcentral